Molecule: long non-coding RNA, 324 nt
Filed under: Vigna radiata
Lineage: Eukaryota; Viridiplantae; Streptophyta; Magnoliopsida; Fabales; Fabaceae
Description: long non-coding RNA (VRAD_LNC010152)
Source: RNAcentral
AACAAAAUUUCGAAAAUAUUCUAAAGUGAUCUUUCAUGCAUUAAUAUUAAUUGCUUAUGGGUCUACUGCACCAUUUUUCCAAGAAAAUCACGUAGAGCACCUCUCCCAUUUAAUCACCAUUCUUUUCUUUUCAUUUUAUUAACGUGCACCCCUUUUUUUCUUUUUUCCUUCCUUCCUUUUUUCCUUUUGUUUUUCUUUUUCCUUUUUUCUUUUUUUCUUUUUUUAUUUUUCUUUUCUCUUUUAUUCUUUUUCUCUUUUUUUUCUUUUUUUUAUCUCUUUUUUCCUCUUCUUCUUUUUUUCUUAUUUCUCUUUUUUCCGUUUUUC